Eucalyptus grandis is the source of this 2555-nucleotide long non-coding RNA. RefSeq lists it as uncharacterized. The record is from RefSeq and is a predicted model, not a curated record. Lineage: Eukaryota; Viridiplantae; Streptophyta; Magnoliopsida; Myrtales; Myrtaceae. The transcript is spliced from 3 exons.
AAUGAAACGCCAAUCUCUCUCCCUCGUUCCAGUAUAUUCCACGCACGGCAGCGGAAGAGAGGGAGGGACUUCGAAUUCCCCAUUUUCUGCCUCUGCGGUCAACGUCAAAUUGCCUUCCCCUCUCUCAUGAGCAUGAGCCUCUGAGCAUGAUCCAUUUCAAGAUCAAGAGAAGCGGAAUAAUCUUGGCUUUUCUUGCUUUCAUCUUCUUGCCGUCUGUUCGAAUUUUGAUGAUCAGGUGUUUUCGUUGGCUGCUUUCUUGUUCCCACUGUUCUUCUGCUUGUCGAUGAUGGGGUUAUUCAGCCGAAUCACGUUUUUUUUUUUGGCUUUUUUUCCUUUACCGAAAGAAUGAAUCAUCCUUCCUAGGAGGACCCAGAUCACGAUUUUCUUCUCUGAGUGAGUGAUCUACUUGAGGUAGUUUGUGUUUCUCUAACUAAAGAAGCUCCUUUUAAAACUCUUUUAUCAAAAAGGAGGACAACAUCAAGCAUUGGUCAUUUUGAUUCUCACCCUUCCCUUUUUCUUUGUGGGGAUCAGGGAUGUUCAACAGUGCUUAAAGAGAGAGAGGCUUGGGAGUUUGUUAAGGCUCUUGGAACUGUUCUUCCCUCCAAGUUCUUGGAGUUUAGGAAGCUCCCACAUUUGACUGAUGUUUCAUCUCAGCUUUCAUCCCAUUUCUUGUUCUUCUUGGACCCCGUUUCUAGAGUGGUUCAUGAAGGCGAAUCUUCCUGUUGUCAAGUUGUUCCUUGUUUGUUUUCUGCUUUCCCUUUCUGCACACUUUCAUAUGCGAUGCUUUGACCUGUUGAUAUUUUCUUGUUCGGAGCUUUUCUGCGUAACCUUGAGUUCCACCCCUCAGCAACCCGCGAGACGGAGGUUUGGCGAGCCAAUCACCACGAGCUCAUCAAGACGCCAGCACUGCGGGAUGUUUCUCUACGCAAGAUAUGCCGUAACUCAGCACGAGCCAUUUCAAGGAUCGGUCACGAACCUCGCGCUCAUAACCUUCAAUCCUCACUUCCCUUUGUGACUCAGCCGUAUGAAUAUUAUCGUCCUAAUCCGGAAUACACAAUGGGAUCAUCAGUUGCGUCAAGCCAAAGGGUGCUAGAAAGUGAAAAAUCAACGAGCUCUCAUGGCAUAUGUAGAUUUGACAGAGCAAGUGCCCGAAAAUUCUGGUUCUUAUUGCCAUGACUACUCAAAGAAGUCUUUGCAAAGUUCUGGGAUGCUGAAAGUUCAUGCAUUUUCACACGAAUUUCUGGCUGUGAACAUCAACAAGCUUCUCUGUAUUCCGUGCGGAAUGCUCCGUGCGUCAACAAUGAUUAGCAGCUAAAACUUCAAGGUGAGUACUUUCAAAACGCUAGAACUAGAAAUAUACCUUUGGCGUUUGAUUGCAGAAUAGUCAACUUCGGGGAUAGCGACAGUCUCUUCGUCGCCUGUUGUUGCUACCGUUUCUCCUGCCUGUAGGCAACAAAACUUAAUCAGAGUUUUCGAUGGGCGUAGCCAUUUGACUUUGCGGUUGGAUCUCGAUCCUUGAGCCAGUUUAUAUGAUUCUGCACUUCAAAAGUUACAGGGGCAAAGAGAGUGGAAUGACCCCAUAUCGUGCAGGAACCUUCAGAAUCAUGGCUGGCACGUAGCUACAAAUAGCUUACAGAGACCAAAAGAAAGAAAUUGUCUCUGCUUUGUCAGGAAGCGCUGACCCUAAUUUCCUAGAACAAAAGUGAAUGCAGCAAACGUUUGACCUAUUUUCUUGGCUACUUGGAACCUCGUUGCACGACAGCAUACAAACGGACAAGUGUACAGGCACGCACAUGCACACUCCAACACAGCGAUGGCCGGUGCACACAGACGCUGCUGAAGUCGUGAGCUAUAGAGUAGAAGCCAAAACAUUCCUGUUGUCUUACCUAGCACCCUGUGAAACUUCCCAGAGUGCCACGCCUGUGCUCAUGCUGAACGCCCCCAGGUAGCAUAUCAUAUGAGCUCCUGGAAUUUGCAACGGUGACAUUAUAGUAAGGAAAUACCUGAUUCAUUGCAACAAAUUUCCAUAUCGUUAGAAGGUCACCCCUCUCUUUGCGUGACAUUGCAAGCUCGGGGAAGCUAAUGUCGUGGCAGUGGCAGGUUCGGACUGCAACACAACCCACGUCUGCUGGCAACAACAACCAAGCAACGGCUCAUACAAGAGGUAUCAAAGUGCUCGAUUUGUUUGGCACGGCAUCCUAUUGAAUACAUGGCAAUGUUCACUGAAAGUAUAUCUAUGCUCAUGACGAUAAUAACUAGCAUUUGAAAGAAGUUUCCACGAGUGCUUGUAUCGACAACAGUACAUUCUCUUCUGGCAGAAGUCACAUGAGACUCCUUGAACGAAAACUCUCCCUCAAUUUCCAUAUCGUAUAGAUGAACAUGCAGGACUGAAUGUUCAGGCAUCAAUGUUCUACGCAUUUGGUACUCUUGUAUCUGCUUACUUCCGUAGUUUUGCCUUCAAUUUCCAUCUGGCCCAGUUAGGCAAUUAUGCAUCAAAUAUUGUACAUCCGACUAUUAUCCAAUUCGGGCAUCAACCCACCAGGAUAGUGAUUUUA